AACGAACGCUGGCGGCAGGCCUAACACAUGCCAGUCGAGCGCCCUUUCGGGGGAGCGGCGGACGGGUGAGUAACGCGUGGGAAUAUGCCCUUCUCUACGGAAUAGCCUCGGGAAACUGAGAGUAAUACCGUAUACGCCCUGUGGGGGACAGAUUUAUCGGGGAAGGAUUAGCCCGCGUUGGAUUAGGUAGUUGGUAGGGUAAUGGCCUACCAAGCCGACGAUCCAUAGCUGGUAUGAGAGGAUGAUCAGCCACACUGUGACUGAGACACGGCCCAGAAUCCUACGGGAGGCAGCAGUGGGGAAUCUUAGACAAUGGGGGCAAUGCUGAUCGAGCCAUGCCGCGUGAGUGAUGAAGGCUUUAGGGUUGUAAAGCUCUUUCAGCUGGGAAGAUAAUGACGUUACCAGCAGAAGAAGCCCCGGCUAACUCCGUG
RNAcentral lists this ribosomal RNA (431 nucleotides) under uncultured bacterium. RNAcentral's name for it is "partial 16S ribosomal RNA". It matches the Rfam family "Bacterial small subunit ribosomal RNA", at positions 29 to 507 of the family's 1533-position model. The record is from RNAcentral.